RNAcentral lists this transfer RNA (100 nucleotides) under Actinoplanes utahensis. Its description in RNAcentral is "tRNA-Val". The record is from RNAcentral. Lineage: Bacteria; Bacillati; Actinomycetota; Actinomycetes; Micromonosporales; Micromonosporaceae.
GGUCGGCUGGAUCAGGUGCUGGAGACCGACCCGGUCGACGCCGGGGUGGUUCUGGUCCGGCAGCCGGAGGUGCUCCAGUUCGCCGCCGAGGACGGCUGCC